RNAcentral lists this transfer RNA (71 nucleotides) under Loxodonta africana (African savanna elephant). It matches the Rfam family "tRNA". From Rfam's summary of the family: Transfer RNA (tRNA) molecules are approximately 80 nucleotides in length. Their secondary structure includes four short double-helical elements and three loops (D, anti-codon, and T loops). Lineage: Eukaryota; Metazoa; Chordata; Mammalia; Proboscidea; Elephantidae. The record is from Rfam by way of RNAcentral.
GCAGUGGUGGUUCAGGGGUAGAAUUCUUGCCUUUCAUUCAGGAGACCUAGGUCUGAUCCCCAGCCGAUGCA